RNAcentral lists this ribosomal RNA (428 nucleotides) under uncultured bacterium. RNAcentral's name for it is "bacterial SSU rRNA". It matches the Rfam family "Bacterial small subunit ribosomal RNA", at positions 355 to 775 of the family's 1533-position model. The record is from RNAcentral.
UGGGGAAUUUUGGACAAUGGGGGCAACCCUGAUCCAGCCAUGCCGCGUGAGUGAAGAAGGCCUUCGGGUUGUAAAGCUCUUUCGGCGGGAACGAAACGGCGAACGCUAAUACCGUUCGCUACUGACGGUACCCGCAUAAGAAGCACCGGCUAACUACGUGCCAGCAGCCGCGGUAAUACGUAGGGUGCAAGCGUUAAUCGGAAUUACUGGGCGUAAAGCGUGCGCAGGCGGUAACUUAAGUCAGCUGUGAAAUCCCCGGGCUUAACCUGGGAACUGCGGUUGAAACUGGGUCACUAGAGUUUGGGAGAGGGAAGUGGAAUUCCAUGUGUAGCAGUGAAAUGCGUAGAUAUAUGGAGGAACACCGAUGGCGAAGGCAGCUUCCUGGCCCAAAACUGACGCUCAUGCACGAAAGCGUGGGGAGCAAACAG